Molecule: ribosomal RNA, 586 nt
Filed under: Staphylococcus aureus
Lineage: Bacteria; Bacillati; Bacillota; Bacilli; Caryophanales; Staphylococcaceae
Description: partial 23S ribosomal RNA
Rfam family: Bacterial large subunit ribosomal RNA
Source: RNAcentral
AACUCCGAAUGCCAAUUAAUUUAACUUGGGAGUCAGAACAUGGGUGAUAAGGUCCGUGUUCGAAAGGGAAACAGCCCAGACCACCAGCUAAGGUCCCAAAAUAUAUGUUAAGUGGAAAAGGAUGUGGCGUUGCCCAGACAACUAGGAUGUUGGCUUAGAAGCAGCCAUCAUUUAAAGAGUGCGUAAUAGCUCACUAGUCGAGUGACACUGCGCCGAAAAUGUACCGGGGCUAAACAUAUUACCGAAGCUGUGGAUUGUCCUUUGGACAAUGGUAGGAGAGCGUUCUAAGGGCGUUGAAGCAUGAUCGUAAGGACAUGUGGAGCGCUUAGAAGUGAGAAUGCCGGUGUGAGUAGCGAAAGACGGGUGAGAAUCCCGUCCACCGAUUGACUAAGGUUUCCAGAGGAAGGCUCGUCCGCUCUGGGUUAGUCGGGUCCUAAGCUGAGGCCGACAGGCGUAGGCGAUGGAUAACAGGUUGAUAUUCCUGUACCACCUAUAAUCGUUUUAAUCGAUGGGGGGACGCAGUAGGAUAGGCGAAGCGUGCGAUUGGAUUGCACGUCUAAGCAGUAAGGCUGAGUAUUAGGCAAAU